UUCUAGCUUAACCAAAAGUUUGUAUCGAUGACUCAUAAGCUUAGCACCACGGUGCUGCCUUUUUAUUUUGCCUUAUCUAUCGUUUAUUACUUUGACAAUUCUUAUUCACCUAUUGAACAUUUUUGUCGUUUUUAAACGUACGAAAGAUAAAUUUUAUAGUUGAAUAUAUGCAGUUAAGCUUGUACGUUCAGCUUUUGCAUCAUUGCAUGUUUUUAUUAGCAUGCUAUUUCAUUGUAUGCUUAAUUAAGGGUGGCAAUAGGAACUGAACUUAUAUUACCAACCAGAACCCACUAGAUGGGUCCAUGGAUAGGACACAAGUCUAGGAAACCCGAUCAAGUAGAGGAUCGGGUUUAGUUUGGGUCGUAUUGUUCUAACAUGAUUGAUUGAAUCAGAAUUAUCUAACUUAAUAACACAAUAUAAUAAUAAUUUUAUAUAUUACAUAAAUGGUAGAGAUCGGGUCUUGGCACAAUAGUAAGGUUGCUUCAUCAUGACCUAUGUAUCAUGGGUUCGAAACAUGAAAAUUGCCUUCCACACAUGAGUUAAGUCUGCAUAUACC
RNAcentral lists this long non-coding RNA (556 nucleotides) under Elaeis guineensis (African oil palm). RNAcentral describes it as "long non-coding RNA (EGUI_LNC046782)". The record is from RNAcentral. Lineage: Eukaryota; Viridiplantae; Streptophyta; Magnoliopsida; Arecales; Arecaceae.